AGUGAACGUUGGCGGCGUGGAUUAGGCAUGCAAGUCGAGCGAGAACCGUAGCAAUACGGGGACAGCGGCGAAAGGGACAGUAAUGUGUAGGUACCUACCCCGAGGUCUGGGAUAGCUGCGGGAAACUGCAGGUAAUACCGGAUAAUGUCUUCGGACCAAAGGUGUGAUUCCACCUUGGGAGGGGCCUGCAUCCUAUUAGCUUGUUGGCGGGGUAAUGGCCCACCAAGGCGACGAUGGGUAGCGGGUGUGAGAGCACGACCCGCGUCAUUGGGACUGAGAUACUGCCCAGACACCUACGGGUGGCUGCAGUCGAGGAUCUUCGGCAAUGGGCGAAAGCCUGACCGAGCGACGCCGCGUGCGGGAUGAAGGCCUUCGGGUUGUAAACCGCUGUCGUAGAGGAGGAAAUGCAGGGGGGUUCUCCCUCCUGUUUGACCUAUUCUAGGAGGAAGGACGGGCUAAGUUCGUGCCAGCCGCCGCGGUAA
RNAcentral lists this ribosomal RNA (482 nucleotides) under uncultured bacterium. RNAcentral's name for it is "partial 16S ribosomal RNA". It matches the Rfam family "Bacterial small subunit ribosomal RNA", at positions 28 to 523 of the family's 1533-position model. The record is from RNAcentral.